CAGGACGAACGCUGGCGGCGUGCCUAAUACAUGCAAGUCGAACGGUCUUUCUAUGGAAGCUUGCUUCCACUGAGAAGAUAGUGGCGAACGGGUGAGUAACACGUGGGUAACCUGCCCAUAAGAGGGGGAUAACAUCCGGAAACGGGUGCUAAUACCGCAUAGUUUUCUUGAUCGCAUGAUCGGGAAAGGAAAGACGGCCUUUGUGCUGUCGCUUAUGGAUGGACCCGCGGCGUAUUAGUUAGUUGGUGAGGUAACGGCUCACCAAGACGAUGAUACGUAGCCGACCUGAGAGGGUGAUCGGCCACAUUGGGACUGAGACACGGCCCAAACUCCUACGGGAGGCAGCAGUAGGGAAUCUUCCGCAAUGGACGAAAGUCUGACGGAGCAACGCCGCGUGAGUGAAGAAAAGGUUUUCGGAUCGUAAAACUCUGUUGUCAGAGAAGAACAAGUUGGAGAGUAACUGCUCCAGCCUUGACGGUAUCUGACCAGAAAGCCACGGCUAACUACGUGCCAGCCGCUGC
Molecule: ribosomal RNA, 521 nt
Filed under: uncultured bacterium
Lineage: Bacteria
Description: bacterial SSU rRNA
Rfam family: Bacterial small subunit ribosomal RNA
Source: RNAcentral